Non-coding RNA from Peromyscus maniculatus bairdii (prairie deer mouse), 1582 nucleotides. The record is from RefSeq and is a predicted model, not a curated record. NCBI's taxonomy places the organism in Eukaryota, Metazoa, Chordata, Mammalia, Rodentia, Cricetidae.
GCAAACUGACCUGACAGACCUGUUGACAAAAAAAUCUCUUUACGUGGGAGUCAGAAACCAGAGCAGCUGAGCAAACCUCCCGUCACCACCCUGUCAGCGCCAGCACUCGGUGUGAUGGCGGGUGCUCCGAAUCAAGGGUGGCAUGAUGCCUACUUAAGGAGGUUUCCCAGUUCCAUUAAGAUGAGCUCAUGCUUCAGAAUUGGUGAAGGAUGGAUAACAAUGCUCAGGGCACUGAGGGAAUAACCCUGAGUUUAAAACAAGCUUCCUGGAAAAUGUCACACCCGAAUUCAUGCCUGAGAGUGUGAAGAUGAAGAGCUCCGCGUGUUUAAAGGACUGGGCACCAUCCGUGGUAGAUGCAUGUUGACCUCGUGUGUUAUCUAUUACUGUUGAGUCCAGCUGGCCUCCCCGCCGCAACCACUUUGUACCCAGGGUUGAAGAUGAGAACCCAACGUUCCAAACUCAACUCAUCAACAAAUCAUCAUUCAGAUGGUAACCAAGGACAACCACAUUGGCUGUUCUCAAUCAGCAGCUCUCCUGUUGGGUUUCCCUUUAGCCCUCCAACCAACUAGGGCAGAUAAAGGAUAUCACUGGUCAGUCUGUUUCUCUCAUUAGCCCAUUUGGCCCAACUCAGCCAUCCCCAGCCUCCACUUGACCUUCACAUCAGUAAUCCUAGGAAAGGAGUUUCUAAAAAAUAAAAAUAAGAAGUUUCUAAAUAAAUAAAAGGUGGUUAUAUCCCAAAAGCUACAAUAAUUUAAAAUGGAUUACUUUAUACUAAAGCCUCCAGAAUUAAUAAAUUAUCUUCAGUUCCAGAUGCUCUGAAAUGACUCCCAUGUCCUCAAAUGUGAUUUUUGACUCACAUGAUAGCCUUUGUUUUCAGGAAAUCCAGGCCCCAAACAUUCUUCAGAUUUACUGAGAGUAACCUAAUCAUUUUUAUGAAAAGAUAAAAUAUUAAUUCAUAUAAUCCAUUUAUAUAAGUAAGAAAAGCACUUUACAACUUUCCUCAGAAAUAUUAAAUAGAGAUAAAAAGGAAGAGUCGGAAAUGGAACUGGAAAUAAAUUUUUGUGCUAAUAUUUAUCAAGAUAGGUCCAAAACAACUAUUGAAAGACGAUAUGUUCUUCUUCCCCAUUGUAGUUAUUCUUAGUGGGUCUCCUAGUCCCCUUGAAAAGAAGCAGGAAUGAGUUGAUUUUAUAACAAAAAAUGUGCAAAGAAAUUAACAUGGCAAUGGUCAUGAACCAUCAAUAGAAAAACUCAAAGAUAAACCUACAGAGAAUGGCGAUCUGGCUUGCCUACCUAAAAGGGAGUUCUUACUUUGACUUUAUACUACUGAUUUUUCCUCAGUUCUUUUUCAAAUGAUAAAAAAAAAAAAAGUGAUGCUCAGAGGAGACUGUUCAGCUUUGCAGAAGGCCUGAGUUCGGCUACGAGCACCCACACUGGGCUGCUUACAACUGCCUGUAACUCCAGCUCCAGGUGAUCUCAUGCCCUCUUCUGGCCUCUGUGGAGAACUGCACUCAUGUGAACAAACCCACAUACAGAUAUACACACAUACACAUAAUUUAAAAAUAAAGUAAAAUCUUAUAAAAAA